UACGGAGGAUCCAAGCGUUAUCCGGAAUCAUUGGGUUUAAAGGGUCCGUAGGCGGUUUUGUAAGUCAGUGGUGAAAGCCCAUCGCUCAACGGUGGAACGGCCAUUGAUACUGCCAGACUUGAAUUAUUAGGAAGUAACUAGAAUAUGUAGUGUAGCGGUGAAAUGCUUAGAGAUUACAUGGAAUACCAAUUGCGAAGGCAGGUUGCUACUAAUGGAUUGACGCUGAUGGACGAAAGCGUGGGUAGCGAACAGG
Molecule: ribosomal RNA, 253 nt
Filed under: uncultured bacterium
Lineage: Bacteria
Description: partial 16S ribosomal RNA
Rfam family: Bacterial small subunit ribosomal RNA
Source: RNAcentral